RNAcentral lists this transfer RNA (70 nucleotides) under Styela plicata. RNAcentral describes it as "transfer RNA-Val". The record is from RNAcentral. Lineage: Eukaryota; Metazoa; Chordata; Ascidiacea; Stolidobranchia; Styelidae.
UUAAAAUUAGUUAAAAAUUAAUAAUACUAUUCUUACAAAAUAGAGUUCUGAGGUUCUAUUAGAUUUUAAU